RNAcentral lists this ribosomal RNA (253 nucleotides) under uncultured bacterium. Its description in RNAcentral is "partial 16S ribosomal RNA". It matches the Rfam family "Bacterial small subunit ribosomal RNA", at positions 524 to 776 of the family's 1533-position model. The record is from RNAcentral.
UACGUAGGGUGCAAGCGUUAAUCGGAAUUACUGGGCGUAAAGCGUGCGCAGGCGGUCUUGCAAGGCAGAUGUGAAAUCCCCGGGCUCAACCUGGGAACUGCAUUUGUGACUGCAAGGCUGGAGUGCGGCAGAGGGGGAUGGAAUUCCGCGUGUAGCAGUGAAAUGCGUAGAUAUGCGGAGGAACACCGAUGGCGAAGGCAAUCCCCUGGGCCUGCACUGACGCUCAUGCACGAAAGCGUGGGGAGCAAACAGG